RNAcentral lists this transfer RNA (72 nucleotides) under Amycolatopsis carbonis. Its description in RNAcentral is "Amycolatopsis sp. 2-15 tRNA-Thr". It matches the Rfam family "tRNA". Rfam says of the family: Transfer RNA (tRNA) molecules are approximately 80 nucleotides in length. Their secondary structure includes four short double-helical elements and three loops (D, anti-codon, and T loops). Further hydrogen bonds mediate the characteristic L-shaped molecular structure. tRNAs have two regions of fundamental functional importance: the anti-codon, which is responsible for specific mRNA codon recognition, and the 3' end, to which the tRNAs corresponding amino acid is attached (by aminoacyl-tRNA synthetases). tRNAs cope with the degeneracy of the genetic code in two manners: having more than one tRNA (with a specific anti-codon) for a particular amino acid; and 'wobble' base-pairing, i.e. permitting non-standard base-pairing at the 3rd anti-codon position. Lineage: Bacteria; Bacillati; Actinomycetota; Actinomycetes; Pseudonocardiales; Pseudonocardiaceae. The record is from RNAcentral. RNAcentral also lists the same sequence under 9 other names.
GCCUCUUCAGCUCACCAGGCAGAGCACCCGUCUCGUAAACGGAAGGACCGGGUUCGAGUCCCGGAAGAGGCU